CCUACGGGGGGCAGCAGUGGGGAAUAUUGGGCAAUGGGCGCAAGCCUGACCCAGCGACGCCGCGUGAGGGAAGAAGGUCUUCGGAUUGUAAACCUCUUUGACAGGGGACGAAGUAAGUGACGGUACCCUGAAAACAAGCCACGGCUAACUACGUGCCAGCAGCCGCGGUAAUACGUAGGUGGCGAGCGUUAUCCGGAAUUACUGGGUGUAAAGGGUGUGUAGGCGGGAUCGCAAGUCAGUGGUGAAACCCGUGGGCUCAACCCACGGCCUGCCAUUGAAACUGCGGUUCUUGAG
This 294-nucleotide ribosomal RNA is filed under the name uncultured Oscillospiraceae bacterium. Its description in RNAcentral is "partial 16S ribosomal RNA". It matches the Rfam family "Bacterial small subunit ribosomal RNA", at positions 338 to 646 of the family's 1533-position model. Lineage: Bacteria; Bacillati; Bacillota; Clostridia; Eubacteriales; Oscillospiraceae. The record is from RNAcentral.